This 405-nucleotide ribosomal RNA is filed under the name uncultured bacterium. RNAcentral describes it as "bacterial SSU rRNA". It matches the Rfam family "Bacterial small subunit ribosomal RNA", at positions 354 to 776 of the family's 1533-position model. The record is from RNAcentral.
GUGGGGGAUAUUGCACAAUGGGGGAAACCCUGAUGCAGCGACGCCGCGUGUGGGAAGACGGUCCUCUGGAUUGUAAACCACUGUCCCCAGGGACGAAGAUGACGGUACCUGGGGAGGAAGCUCCGGCUAACUACGUGCCAGCAGCCGCGGUAAUACGUAGGGAGCAAGCGUUGUCCGGAAUUACUGGGUGUAAAGGGAGCGUAGGCGGGGAUGCAAGUUGGGUGUCAAAACUAUCGGCUCAACUGAUAGUCGCACUCAAAACUGCAGCUCUUGAGUGAAGUAGAGGCAGGCGGAAUUCCUAGUGUAGCGGUGAAAUGCGUAGAUAUUAGGAGGAACACCAGUGGCGAAGGCGGCCUGCUGGGCUUUUACUGACGCUGAGGCUCGAAAGUGUGGGGAGCAAACAGG